UGCCUCUGUAUUUAUGCCCUGCAAUAUGUGCUGCAAAAUAUGCUGCUAGUGCAGUUUCUUUAAGUUUUAAUUGUAGCAGGGGGAGGUGGAGGGGGAAAAUUGAAUUAGCCUUUUUUCUUUCUGGAGAAUGUGUUGGUAUUAGCCCUGGUGGAUGAGUUGUUUAAAUUUUGAGAAGACUAAUCUUUUGCCUCUGUAUUUAUGCCCUGCAAUAUGUGCUGCAAAAUAUGCUGCUAGUCCAGUUUGUGUAAGUUUUAAUUCUAGCAGGGGGAUGGGGAGGGGGAAAAUUGAAUUAGCCUUUUUUCUUUCUGGAGAAUGUGUUGGUAUUAGCUCUGGUGGAUGAGUUGUUUAAAUUUGUAGAAGAGUAAUCUUUUGCCUCUGUAUUUAUGCCCUGCAAUAUGUGCUGCAAAAUAUGCUGCUAGUGCAGUUUGUGUAAGUUUUAAUUCUAGCAGUGGGAGGGGGAGGGGAAAAAUUGAAUUAGCCUUUUUCCUUUCUGGAGAAUGUGUUGGUAUUAGCCCUGGUGGAUGAGUUGUUUAAAUUUGGACAAGUGUAAUCUUUUGCCUCUGUAUUUAUGCCCUGCAAUAUGUGCUGCAAAAUAUGCUGCUAGUGCAGUUUCUGUUAGUUUUAAUUCUAGCAAUUAAGUUUGGUUUUAGUCCCUCUCUUUUUCAUCUCUUUCUCUUCUCUCUCUGAAACCCUAGCCUCAUGUCUACUUGAUGAAUAACAAUCCACUGAAACCCUAACCGCCAUCACUAUUUUCUCCAUUUUUUCUUUUCCCCUUCGAAUUAGUUUUACAUCUAAAAAUAAAUUGUAUAUUAUAUAUAUUUUUUUCUUUUCUUUGAACCAUCACCAACGCAACCAUCUCUCUUUGCAUUGUAUAUAAAUAGCUCCAAAAUCAAAGAAUCAACUUUUUUUUCAAUCUCAAUUUGGAUAGAAAGUGGUUUGGUCAUUUUUUCUUUGACUUACCAUAUCAAGUUAUUUGACAAUUUUGUAUUUUGAUUCUAUAACGUGUUUUACAUUAGAAUCUAAAUCUGAUUGCUUCUAUAUUAUUAUUUCUGGUUUUUAUGAAUCCUAUUCGCCUGUUAUGUUUAUUAGUUACAUUUCAAAUUGGGAUAAACUUUUAAUUAUUCUAUCAAAUAUGAUGUUGUUGCCUUCAAGUAUCUAGUUAUUAUUGGCUUCAGAUCAUAUUUAUUUAUUUUGAUAUAGAUAAUUAUGUGCAAAUUAUAUGAACAGGGCCAUCCACAUUUACUUUGAAUGAGGCUGUUAUCUAUAAUGUUGAAUAAAAGAGGUCUCUGCUGCGCUUUAGUUCUG
This 1305-nucleotide long non-coding RNA is filed under the name Jatropha curcas. RNAcentral's name for it is "long non-coding RNA (JCUR_LNC000324)". The record is from RNAcentral. Lineage: Eukaryota; Viridiplantae; Streptophyta; Magnoliopsida; Malpighiales; Euphorbiaceae.